This is a long non-coding RNA of Vicia villosa (hairy vetch), 559 nucleotides long. RefSeq lists it as uncharacterized. The record is from RefSeq and is a predicted model, not a curated record. The transcript is spliced from 2 exons. Lineage: Eukaryota; Viridiplantae; Streptophyta; Magnoliopsida; Fabales; Fabaceae.
GACAUCUCUAAGUAUUAAGGGGGUAUAUUUUGUUAGGCCCAUUUGUGUAUUAAUAAUUAACAUAGUAUAUUUUUUUAAAAAAAAUAGAAGUAGAAGAGAGGUAGAGAGAGGUAGUAGUUUCAGUAGAAGAAAACAAGAAGGAGGAAACCGAGAGAGUUAAAGAAAAGAGGGGUUAGGGUUUGAAGAGGAGACCCAAAGUGUUGCUCUAAAGUGCAUUUUUUCUCCAAUUUUCAAUUGAAUCUUCUUAGAGCUGCACUCAAUCCAAGGUAAUCCAGAUGAGUAGCUGUUUCCGCUUAUAGUCGAGUUUUGGGUGUCAUUGCUCUGAUACGUAGCACUCGGGGGGAAAUGAACACUUGCUUGAUGUUGUUAUUUGCUUCUUGAACCUUAUGAUGUAUUUGAGGAUUUGUUUGUAUUGUUUCUUUUUAUGAUUCAAAAGAUGUUAUGCCUUAAUUGUUGAAUCAUUAUGAAUCUGUUGCAUGUUGAACCUAAGUUUGGGUUAUGCUUUGAAUACUAUGUUAUUCAAAAGUUGAGGUAUAUGUUAUGAGUUUGUUCACUCCAA